RNAcentral lists this ribosomal RNA (444 nucleotides) under uncultured bacterium. RNAcentral's name for it is "SSU rRNA". It matches the Rfam family "Bacterial small subunit ribosomal RNA", at positions 26 to 518 of the family's 1533-position model. The record is from RNAcentral.
AGAACGAACGCUGGCGGCAUGCCUAACACAUGCAAGUCGAACGAGACCUUCGGGUCUAGUGGCGCACGGGUGCGUAACGCGUGGGAACCUGCCCCUUGGUUCGGAAUAACACAGAGAAAUUUGUGCUAAUACCGGAUAAUGACUUCGGUCCAAAGAUUUAUCGCCGAGGGAUGGGCCCGCGUAGGAUUAGCUUGUUGGUGGGGUAAUGGCCUACCAAGGCUUCGACGGGUAGCUGGUCUGAGAGGAUGUCCAGCCACACUGGGACUGAGACACGGCCCAGACUCCUACGGGAGGCAGCAGUAGGGAAUCUUGCGCAAUGGGCGAAAGCCUGACGCAGCGACGCCGCGUGCGGGAUGAAGGCCUUCGGGUUGUAAACCGCUUUCAGCAGGGACGAAAUUGACGGUACCUGCAGAGAACGCCCCGGCAACUCGUGCCAGCAGCCGC